UCCUCUUUCAAACCUUUGCAGCGCUAACAUUUGCUUUUCCGCUUUAACUUGCUUUAACUCGCGUUAACCGCGAUAACUUGCUUUUUGGCUUACCUUUUGUUGCGAUCACGCAUCAGACUGCUCGAUUUUUUUGACAGCGAGAACUGUCAAAAGCAAAUGACAGUUCUCGUUGUCAAACCAUUCGAGCAGUUUGCUUUGUUUUCCUCUUGAAAGAAAAGUCUCAGGGAAAAAUCAUCCGCCGGAACCGUUUCCUAAGCCUGCCACAGAUUUCCUUGUGAAGACAGCCUUCUCAGGUUGGGAAUUCGCAAAAAGGAUUGACCGGGAACGGCCAAGAAGGGCACGCUCUACAUCGACGGGACGCGGUCCGUCUUCAAGCGUGCCACCCGGACGAACCUCUCCAGCGCCGCUGGUCUGAGCAGAUGCAAGUUGUGACAAUAUCAACGAAUCGUGCGCAUUUGCUUCCGGAGUUGAUCACGUUGACUUGAGGCGAGCAGACUGAAGGAACCGUGGAGAAGAGUGGUGCCAACCUGGAGGUGGUCAGAGAGAUCCUUGAGCUGACCGUGACAAUUAGGGCAUUCUAAAAUCUGUCGGAGUGCUAAUCGGAACUGGCCGGAAUCUCGUUCGAGAAAACUCACGAUGUUAAAGCGACUAAGUGAUCGACAAAAUGCAACGGAACAGAACGACAAUGCCAAGACCUCCAUCAAGAUACUCGAAGAGUCAAGAUUGCGGACGUUGAGGAACCGAAGAAACGGUGGUUCAAGAAGGACUCGACCUCGAACCACGUGAAAACUUUAAGAAAUGUGACCAUCCAGGAUAGUGCUUCGCAAACUGUCCGUCAAUUAAGACGCAACACUUCUGUGAACAGUAACUAAUAAAUUGUAGAGGGAUGCGUUUUUUAAAUAAAUAAAUCUUCCGCUGAAGGAAACUAAACUGCAUC
Long non-coding RNA from Culex quinquefasciatus (southern house mosquito), 937 nucleotides. RefSeq lists it as uncharacterized. NCBI's taxonomy places the organism in Eukaryota, Metazoa, Arthropoda, Insecta, Diptera, Culicidae. The record is from RefSeq and is a predicted model, not a curated record. The transcript has 2 exons.